RNAcentral lists this unclassified non-coding RNA (344 nucleotides) under soil metagenome. RNAcentral's name for it is "partial contains 5.8S ribosomal RNA, internal transcribed spacer 2, and large subunit ribosomal RNA". The stretch from base 1 to 120 matches the Rfam family "5.8S ribosomal RNA", at positions 35 to 154 of the family's 154-position model. The record is from RNAcentral.
GAUGAAGAACGUAGCGAAAUGCGAUACGUAAUGUGAAUUGCAGAAUUCAGUGAAUCAUCGAGUCUUUGAACGCACAUUGCGCCCUCUGGUAUUCCGGAGGGCAUGCCUGUCCGAGCGUCAUUGCUGCCCUCAAGCACGGCUUGUGUGUUGGGCUCCGUCCCCCGAUCCCGGGGGACGGGCCCGAAAGGCAGCGGCGGCACCGCGUCCGGUCCUCGAGCGUAUGGGGCUUUGUCACCCGCUCUGUAGGCCCGGCCGGCGCUUGCCGAUCAACCAAAUUUUUAUCCAGGUUGACCUCGGAUCAGGUAGGGAUACCCGCUGAACUUAAGCAUAUCAAAAGCGGAGGA